This 18-nucleotide small nuclear RNA is filed under the name Arabidopsis thaliana (thale cress). RNAcentral's name for it is "snRNA_12772". The record is from RNAcentral. Lineage: Eukaryota; Viridiplantae; Streptophyta; Magnoliopsida; Brassicales; Brassicaceae.
UUGUAAGUGGCAGAGUGG